CCUACGGGGGGCAGCAGUGGGGGAUAUUGCACAAUGGGGGAAACCCUGAUGCAGCGACGCCGCGUGAGUGAAGAAGUAUUUCGGUAUGUAAAGUUCUAUCAGCAGGGAAGAAAAUGUCAGUACCUGACCAAUAAGCCCCGGCUAACUCCGUGCCAGCAGCCGCGGUAAUACGUAGGGGGCAAGCGUUCUCCGGUUUUACUGGGUGUAAAGGGAGCGUAGACGGUUAUGUCAGUCUGGAGUGCAAGCCCUGGGCUCAACCCGGGGAGUGCUUUGGAUACUGGGUAACUGGAGUACAGGAGGGGCAGGCGGAAUUCCAGGUGUAGCGGUGAAAUGCGUAGAGAUGAGGAGGAACACCGGCGGCGAAGGCGGCCUGCUGGACAGAAACUGACGUGGAGGCGCGAAAGCGUGGGGAGCAAACAGGAUUAGAUACCCGAGUAGUC
This 440-nucleotide ribosomal RNA is filed under the name uncultured bacterium. Its description in RNAcentral is "partial 16S ribosomal RNA". It matches the Rfam family "Bacterial small subunit ribosomal RNA", at positions 338 to 795 of the family's 1533-position model. The record is from RNAcentral.